RNAcentral lists this ribosomal RNA (263 nucleotides) under uncultured bacterium. RNAcentral describes it as "partial 16S ribosomal RNA". It matches the Rfam family "Bacterial small subunit ribosomal RNA", at positions 524 to 786 of the family's 1533-position model. The record is from RNAcentral.
UACGUAGGUGGCAAGCGUUGUCCGGAUUUACUGGGUGUAAAGGGCGUGUAGGCGGGUCAGUAAGUUGGAUGUGAAAUACCGCGGCUCAACCGCGGGGCUGCAUCCAAAACUAUUGAUCUUGAGUGUCGGAGAGGAAAGCGGAAUUCCUAGUGUAGCGGUGAAAUGCGUAGAUAUUAGGAGGAACACCGGUGGCGAAGGCGGCUUUCUGGACGAUAACUGACGCUGAGGCGCGAAAGCGUGGGGAGCAAACAGGAUUAGAUACC